GAGUUUGAUCGUGGCUCAGAUUGAACGCUGGCGGAAUGCUUUACACAUGCAAGUCGAGCGGCAGCGCGGGGCAACCUGGCGGCGAGCGGCGAACGGGUGAGUAAUGCAUCGGAACAUGUCCAUGUCGUGGGGGAUAGCCCGGCGAAAGCCGGAUUAAUACCGCAUACGCCCGAGAGGGGAAAGCCGGGGACCGCAAGGCCUGGCGCGAUUGGGUUGGCCGAUGUCCGAUUAGCUAGUUGGCGGGGUAAGAGCCCACCAAGGCGAUGAUCGGUAGCUGGUCUGAGAGGAUGAUCAGCCACACUGGGACUGAGACACGGCCCAGACUCCUACGGGAGGCAGCAGUGGGGAAUUUUGGACAAUGGGGGAAACCCUGAUCCAGCCAUUCCGCGUGAGUGAAGAAGGCCUCGGUUGUAAG
RNAcentral lists this ribosomal RNA (415 nucleotides) under uncultured beta proteobacterium. Its description in RNAcentral is "bacterial SSU rRNA". It matches the Rfam family "Bacterial small subunit ribosomal RNA", at positions 9 to 429 of the family's 1533-position model. The record is from RNAcentral. Lineage: Bacteria; Pseudomonadati; Pseudomonadota; Betaproteobacteria.